CCACCUGUCAUUUUGCUCGAACC
Molecule: microRNA, 23 nt
Filed under: Echinococcus granulosus
Lineage: Eukaryota; Metazoa; Platyhelminthes; Cestoda; Cyclophyllidea; Taeniidae
Also listed under: 1 other name
Description: egr-miR-87-5p
Gene: egr-miR-87-5p
Source: miRBase by way of RNAcentral